GGAGUAACACGUGGAUAACCUACCUAUAAGACUGGGAUAACUUCGGGAAACCGGAGCUGAUACCGGAUAAUAUUUUGAACCGCAUGGUUCAAAAGUGAAAGACGGUCUCGCUGUCACUUAUAGAUGGAUCCGCGCUGCAUUAGCUAGUUGGUAAGGUAACGGCUUACCAAGGCAACGAUGCAUAGCCGACCUGAGAGGGUGAUCGGCCACACUGGAACUGAGACACGGUCCAG
RNAcentral lists this ribosomal RNA (233 nucleotides) under uncultured Staphylococcus sp. Its description in RNAcentral is "partial 16S ribosomal RNA". It matches the Rfam family "Bacterial small subunit ribosomal RNA", at positions 107 to 334 of the family's 1533-position model. The record is from RNAcentral. Lineage: Bacteria; Bacillati; Bacillota; Bacilli; Caryophanales; Staphylococcaceae.